Molecule: ribosomal RNA, 437 nt
Filed under: uncultured bacterium
Lineage: Bacteria
Description: partial 16S ribosomal RNA
Rfam family: Bacterial small subunit ribosomal RNA
Source: RNAcentral
AGCGAACGCUGGCGGCAGGCUUAACACAUGCAAGUCGAGCGGGCAUCCUUGUGGUGUCCGCGGCAGACGGGUGAGUAACGCGUGGGAACGUGCCCUUCGGUUCGGAAUAACUCAGGGAAACUUGAGCUAAUACCGGAUACGUGCGAGAGCAGAAAGGUUUAUCUGCCGAAGGAUCGGCCCGCGUCUGAUUAGCUAGUUGGUGAGGUUAUGGCUCACCAAGGCGACGAUCAGUAGCUGGUCUGAGAGGAUGAUCAGCCACACUGGGACUGAGACACGGCCCAGACUCCUACGGGAGGCAGCAGUGGGGAAUAUUGGACAAUGGGGGCAACCCUGAUCCAGCCAUGCCGCGUGAGUGAUGACGGCCUUAGGGUUGUAAGGCUCUUUUCUUCGGGACGAUAAUGACGGUACCGGAGGAAUAAGCCCCGGCUAACUUCGUG